AAAAAGGAAAUAAAUUUUCCUGAGCAACUUCUCCUAACUUCAAUAUCCAGAGAGAAAUUAAGAAAAUAAGAGGAAAGAUGAAAGCCUAACAAGAUUUAAGAAGAAAGUUUUCCAUUAUUCAUUUAAUUCACUUUUAGCUGACCAAGGCUAGUCACCCAGAACAACUUGUGAUCCCUGGACAAAGCCGUUCACAGCAGGUGGCCAAUGUUUUUACUUUUUCGAUUGUCAUUAGAAAAUAAACUGAAG
Molecule: long non-coding RNA, 246 nt
Filed under: Homo sapiens (human)
Lineage: Eukaryota; Metazoa; Chordata; Mammalia; Primates; Hominidae
Description: HSALNT0110111
Source: RNAcentral